Molecule: ribosomal RNA, 325 nt
Filed under: Aphyosemion hera
Lineage: Eukaryota; Metazoa; Chordata; Actinopteri; Cyprinodontiformes; Nothobranchiidae
Description: partial 12S ribosomal RNA
Rfam family: Bacterial small subunit ribosomal RNA
Source: RNAcentral
CUCGCCCGGGGACUACAGGCAUUAGCUUAAAACCCAAAGGACUUGGCGGUGCUUUAUACCCACCUAGAGGAGCCUGUUCUACAACCGAUAACCCCCGUUAAACCUCACCUUCUCUUGUCAUUUCCGCCUAUAUACCGCCGUCGUCAGCUUACCCUGUGAAGGUAACCUAGUAAGCAAAACUGAUACAAUCCAAAACGCCAGGUCGAGGUGUAGCAUAUGAGAAGGGAAGAAAUGGGCUACAUUUUCUAACAUAGAAAAUACGGAUACUACCAUGAAACAGUAGAUUGAAGGAGGAUUUAGCAGUAAGUGGAGAAUAGAGGGCUCC